GAUGAAGAACGCAGCGAAAUGCGAUACUUGGUGUGAAUUGCAGAAUCCCGUGAACCAUCGAGUCUUUGAACGCAAGUUGCGCCCGAAGCCAUUAGGCCGAGGGCACGCCUGCCUGGGCGUCACACGUCGUUGCCCCCCCAUCUACUCCUUCGGGAUUGCGGGGGGCGGAUGAUGGCCUCCCGUGCGCCUCGUCGCGCGGUUGGCAUAAAUGCCAAGUCCUCGGCGACGCACGCCACGACAAUCGGUGGUUGCGAAACCUCGGUUGCCCGUCGUGUGCGGUCGUCGCGCAUCGAGGGCUCGAAAAAAUUGCCGAGUUCCGGCUCGGCUUUCAACGCGACCCCAGGUCAGGCGGGGUUACCCGCUGAAUUUAAGCAUAUCAAUAAGCGGAGGA
RNAcentral lists this unclassified non-coding RNA (391 nucleotides) under soil metagenome. RNAcentral's name for it is "partial contains 5.8S ribosomal RNA, internal transcribed spacer 2, and large subunit ribosomal RNA". The stretch from base 1 to 122 matches the Rfam family "5.8S ribosomal RNA", at positions 35 to 154 of the family's 154-position model. The record is from RNAcentral.